CAGUCGCCGCGGGAAUACGUAGGGUGCAAGCGUUAAUCGGAACUACUGGGCGUAAAGCGUGCGCAGGCGGUUCCGCAAGUCAGAUGUGAAAUCCCCGGGCUCAACCUGGGAACUGCACUUGAAACUACGGGGCUAGAGUGUGUCAGAGGGGGGUGGAAUUCCACGUGUAGCAGUGAAAUGCGUAGAGAUGUGGAGGAACACCAAUGGCGAAGGCAGCCCCCUGGGAUGACACUGACGCUCAUGCACGAAAGCGUGGGGAGCAAACAGGAUUAGAUACCCGAGUAGUCCCUGUCUCUUAUAC
This 301-nucleotide ribosomal RNA is filed under the name uncultured bacterium. RNAcentral describes it as "partial 16S ribosomal RNA". It matches the Rfam family "Bacterial small subunit ribosomal RNA", at positions 509 to 807 of the family's 1533-position model. The record is from RNAcentral.